This 16-nucleotide small RNA is filed under the name Arabidopsis thaliana (thale cress). RNAcentral describes it as "ATSL016570". The record is from RNAcentral. Lineage: Eukaryota; Viridiplantae; Streptophyta; Magnoliopsida; Brassicales; Brassicaceae.
ACCUCUUCUCACUCUC